GCACAAGCGGUGGAGCAUGUGGUUAAUUCGACGCAACGCGAAGAACCUUACCAGGGCUUGACAUCCCCUGACCGCGUAUGAAAGUACGUUUUCACCCUCGGGUGACAGGGAGACAGGUGGUGCAUGGUUGUCGUCAGCUCGUGUCGUGAGAUGUUGGGUUAAGUCCCGCAACGAGCGCAACCCCUACGUUUAGUUGCUAACGCGUGAAGGCGAGCACUCUAGACGAACUGCCGUUGACAAAACGGAGGAAGGUGGGGAUGACGUCAAAUCAUCAUGCCCCUUAUGUUCUGGGCUACACACGUGCUACAAUGGCCGGUACAGACGGACGCAAAGCCGCGAGGUGGAGCAAAUCCUAAAAAGCCGGUCUCAGUUCGGAUUGCAGGCUGCAAUUCGCCUGCAUGAAGUCGGAAUCGCUAGUAAUCGCAGGUCAGCAUACUGCGGUGAAUAUGUUCCCGGGCCUU
RNAcentral lists this ribosomal RNA (461 nucleotides) under uncultured Pelotomaculum sp. Its description in RNAcentral is "bacterial SSU rRNA". It matches the Rfam family "Bacterial small subunit ribosomal RNA", at positions 923 to 1382 of the family's 1533-position model. The record is from RNAcentral. Lineage: Bacteria; Bacillati; Bacillota; Clostridia; Eubacteriales; Desulfotomaculaceae.